RNAcentral lists this ribosomal RNA (771 nucleotides) under uncultured euryarchaeote. Its description in RNAcentral is "bacterial SSU rRNA". It matches the Rfam family "Archaeal small subunit ribosomal RNA", at positions 149 to 922 of the family's 1478-position model. Lineage: Archaea; Methanobacteriati; Methanobacteriota. The record is from RNAcentral.
UGCCCCCAUAGUUCACCACACCUGGAACGGUGGGUGGAUGAAAGCUCCGGCGGCAUAGGAUGGGCCUGCGGCGUAUCAGGUUGUAGGGGGUGUAAUGUACCCUCUAGCCAUCUACGCGUACGGGUGUUGAGAGACAUCGCCCGGAGAUGGAUUCUGAGACACGAAUCCAGACCCUACGGGGUGCAGCAGGCGCGAAAACUUGGCAAUGCGAGCAAUCGUGACCAGGGAACUCCAAGUGCAUCGGGUAAGACCGAUGCUUUUCUUGACUCUUCAAAGGUCUUGGAAUAAGGGGUGGGUAAGGACGGUGCCAGCCGCCGCGGUAAUACCGGCGCCUCAAGUGGUAGUCGCUUUUAUUGGGCCUAAAACGUCCGUAGCCGGUUUGGUACAUUCGUGGGUAAAUCAAGACGCUCAACGUCUUGAAUUCUGCGAGCACGGCCAGACUUGGGACCGGGUGAGGUGUGGGGUACUCUCAGGGUAGGGGUAAAAUCCUGUCAUCCUGAGAGGACCACCUGUUGCGAAGGCGCCACACUAGAACGGAUCCGACGGUCAGGGACGAAGCCUAGGGGCACGAACCGGAUUAGAUACCCGGGUAGUCCUAGGUGUAAACGCUGUGGACUUGAUGUUGGGAGCGACCAGAUCGCCCUCAGUGUCGAAGCGAAGGUGAUAAGUCCACUGCCUGGGGAGUACGGUCGCAAGGCUGAAACUUAAAGGAAUUGGCGGGGGAGCACUGCAACCUGAGGAUUGUGCGGUUUAAUUGGAUUCAACGCCGGG